This 354-nucleotide ribosomal RNA is filed under the name bacterium LimC-10-J-102. Its description in RNAcentral is "bacterial SSU rRNA". It matches the Rfam family "Bacterial small subunit ribosomal RNA", at positions 289 to 635 of the family's 1533-position model. The record is from RNAcentral.
GGUCUGAGAGGAUGAUCCGCCACACUGGGACUGAGACACGGCCCAGACUCCUACGGGAGGCAGCAGUGGGGAAUUUUGGACAAUGGGCGCAAGCCUGAUCCAGCCAUGCCGCGUGUCUGAAGAAGGCCUUCGGGUUGUAAAGGACUUUUGUCCGGGAGCAAAUCCCAGUGGUUAAUACCUACUGGGGCUGAGAGUACCGGAAGAAUAAGCACCGGCUAACUACGUGCCAGCAGCCGCGGUAAUACGUAGGGUGCAAGCGUUAAUCGGAAUUACUGGGCGUAAAGCGUGCGCAGGCGGUUGUGCAAGUCUGAUGUGAAAGCCCCGGGCUUAACCUGGGAACGGCAUUGGAAACUG